GAUUAACGCUGGCGGCAUGCCUAAUACAUGCAAAUCGAACGAAGUACUUGUACUUAGUGGUGAACGGGUGAGUAACACGUAUCCAAUCUACCCUUAGGUUGGGGAUAACUAGUCGAAAGACUAGCUAAUACCGAAUAUCAAUAUUACUAUCGCAUGAGAAAGUAUUGAAAGGUCCGUUUGGACCGCCUUUGGAUGAGGGUGCGGCAUAUCAGAUAGUUGGUGAGGUAACGGCCCACCAAGUCAAUGACGUGUAGCUGUACUGAGAGGUAAAACAGCCACAAUGGGACUGAGACACGGCCCAUACUCCUACGGGAGGCAGCAGUAGGGAAUUUUUCACAAUGGGCGAAAGCCUGAUGGAGCAACGCCGCGUGAAUGAUGAAGGUCUUAAAGAUUGUAAAAUUCUUUUAUUUGGGAAGAAUGGUUUCUAGAGGAAAUGCUAGGAAUUUGACUGUACCAUUUGAAUAAGUAUCGGCUAACUAUGUGCCAGCAGCCGCGGUAAUACAUAGGAUGCAAGCGUUAUCCGGAUUUACUGGGCGUAAAACGAGCGCAGGCGGGUUAACAAGUUUGGUAUGAAAGGCUUUUGCUUAACGAAAGUUUGUAUCAAAAACUGUUAAUCUAGAGUGUAGUAGGGAGUUCUGGAAUUCCAUGUGGAGCGGUGGAAUGCGUAGAUAUAUGGAAGAACACCAGUAGCGAAGGCGAGAACUUAGGCUAUCACUGACGCUUAGGCUCGAAAGUGUGGGGAGCAAAUAGG
RNAcentral lists this ribosomal RNA (751 nucleotides) under uncultured bacterium. RNAcentral's name for it is "bacterial SSU rRNA". It matches the Rfam family "Bacterial small subunit ribosomal RNA", at positions 28 to 776 of the family's 1533-position model. The record is from RNAcentral.